Molecule: ribosomal RNA, 1572 nt
Filed under: Triticum aestivum (bread wheat)
Lineage: Eukaryota; Viridiplantae; Streptophyta; Magnoliopsida; Poales; Poaceae
Description: partial small subunit ribosomal RNA
Source: RNAcentral
UGCACCUCCGACCCGUCAUGUUUGUGUCCAUGCUUACUGAGGUCGUCAUUUUCAUAGCAAUGAACAUAAUUCCUUUUUUAAGUCUAUUUUGUGAAAAUGAGACAUAUAUUUCAAACAAAAAUUAUAUAUAAUCAUGUGAAAUAUGUAUAUUUUUUUGGCAGACUGCUGGAUGCAAGGACGCACCCGUUUUGUGCGAAGAGGAUUCACUUGUCUUCUAGAUCAGCUCCUGUAUUUCUUGAGAGGAGUGAGCCGCUUCCAGACCUACCUAGGCUCGUACGGGCAUUCGCUUGUUGGGCCUGUUUGACACUUCUCUCGCCGGCACGCACAGUAGCCACACUUAUAGAAAUAAUAAAGAUGUGUUUCUCAAGAAAAAAAAGAAGCAUUAGUUAUCAGAAAAAAUCCAGUCCUCUCACCGCACAACAUCCACUCUGCCCACCUCACAGCCUCGCACAUGUCGCUUCUCCCUGCCGCCUCCUCUCCUCACCACGGCUCGCCCUCGGCAUCCUCUCCCCACCACGGCUCGCCCCGCAGCCUCCACCUCCGAUACGACCUCGCGCUGCCACCAACGCUUCCGGUCUCCCCUGUAUCGACACUGCCGCCGGUGUCCAACCUCAGCGACGACGCCAGCCUGCCCGACGCAGCUCCUGGCCGCGGCGGCCUAGAACACCGAGGUAUAGAAGCCUGCUCCGGCUGCCAAGCUGCCGCCCAACCUGCUCUGGUAAGUCUUGGGCUUAGGUCUCACUUCCAUAUAGCAGAACGAUUUAUCUGAAGUACUAAGUUUAUAUGAAGAAAAGAAAGCUAGGUUUUGUUUGUUCAGUCCUCAUGUGCUUUGUAGUCAAGCUUUUCAUUCUAGAAGCCUGCUAAUCUGCUAUAUUGUUAUGAUGGAAUUCUGUAUCUGAUUUGGAUGAAACAAAACUCAAGAGUACUUAUUACAAGCUAAAUACUGAGUGAAUUGCAUUUUAACUGAAGCAUUUUUCAUACAUUACUCAAUGUUUGUCAAUUGGGAUGUACUCAAUGUUUGUCCCUUCUCCACUGGACACCAACAUGGGGUUCCAUAUGAUACAAGACUCAAAGGUCUAGAUGAUGACAGAGGAACCAAAGGUCUAACACAGGAUGCUUCAAAGUCUCAUUUUAAAAGGUCAACAGGUUGAUGUUCUUUUUCAUAUCUCAUCUUGUCGGUCUGAUAUUUGAAAUAUCACAGAAUUAUUGUUCAGAUGCACCUGUUAUCUAAAUUAGUUCCUGCUGACACAUUCAGGAAGUACAAGUUUCACAAUAAAUCUAAUUCCACACAUACAGCCAAUCUGUAGAUUAAUUUGGCACUGACGUUCGAUUAAGUUGAUUCCAGUGUAACAAUGAAAAACUUCUGGAGAACUCAUACCUUACGGCUAUUAUAAAUUUAGGUCAUUACUUCAGAAUGAUAUAAUGAGAGAGAGGUCUAAAUUUAGGUUAUUACUACUUCAUCAGGACCAUAUACCAUUUAACAGUAUUACUACUUUUUAGAAGAUAAUUUGUCGUGCUUCUAGUGAACUGGCAACCCCAGCUAAAAUUUGAGGUCUGUUAAUUUAAGACAUA